CCUACGGGAGGCAGCAGUGAGGAAUAUUGGUCAAUGGGCGAGAGCCUGAACCAGCCAAGUCGCGUGAAGGAUGAAGGAUCUAUGGUUUGUAAACUUCUUUUAUAUGGGAAUAAAGUGAGGAACGUGUUCCUUUUUGUAUGUACCAUAUGAAUAAGCAUCGGCUAACUCCGUGCCAGCAGCCGCGGUAAUACGGAGGAUGCGAGCGUUAUACGGAUUUAUUGGGUUUAAAGGGUGCGUAGGUGGUUAAUUAAGUCAGCGGUGAAAGGUUGUGGCUCAACCAUAAAAUUGCCGUUGAAACUGGUUGACUUGAGUAUAUUUGAGGUAGGCGGAAUGCGUGGUGUAGCGGUGAAAUGCAUAGAGAUCACGCAGAACUCCGAUUGCGAAGGCAGCUUACUAAACUAUAACUGACACUGAAGCACGAAAGCGUGGGGAUCAAACAGGAUUAGAUACCCUUGUAGUC
This 460-nucleotide ribosomal RNA is filed under the name uncultured bacterium. Its description in RNAcentral is "partial 16S ribosomal RNA". It matches the Rfam family "Bacterial small subunit ribosomal RNA", at positions 338 to 795 of the family's 1533-position model. The record is from RNAcentral.